CCUACGGGUGGCAGCAGUGAGGAAUAUUGGUCAAUGGACGAGAGUCUGAACCAGCCAAGUAGCGUGAAGGAUGACUGCCCUAUGGGUUGUAAACUUCUUUUAUAUGGGAAUAAAAUGUUCCACGUGUGGGAUUUUGUAUGUACCAUAUGAAUAAGGAUCGGCUAACUCCGUGCCAGCAGCCGCGGUAAUACGGAGGAUCCGAGCGUUAUCCGGAUUUAUUGGGUUUAAAGGGAGCGUCGGUGGAUUGUUAAGUCAGUUGUGAAAGUGUGCGGCUCAACCGUAAAAUUGCAGUUGAAACUGGCAGUCUUGAGUACAGUAGAGGUGGGCGGAAUUCGUGGUGUAGCGGUGAAAUGCUUAGAUAUCACGAAGAACUCCGAUUGCGAAGGCAGUUCACUGGACUGCAACUGACACUGAGGCUCGAAAGUGUGGGUAUCAAACAGGAUUAGAUACCCCAGUAGUC
This 460-nucleotide ribosomal RNA is filed under the name uncultured bacterium. RNAcentral's name for it is "partial 16S ribosomal RNA". It matches the Rfam family "Bacterial small subunit ribosomal RNA", at positions 338 to 795 of the family's 1533-position model. The record is from RNAcentral.